ACCUUUGCACAGUAGUAGCAUCAUAGCCACUGAGGUCUACCUGAAGUGCAAUUAUUGCUCAUUGAAAACCUUUCCCAAAACCCUGUCAUGAUGACUUGCAAUAUAAUUGGCACUGGUAAUUUCUGACAGUCUCUAAGGAGA
Molecule: small nuclear RNA, 141 nt
Organism: Aotus nancymaae (Ma's night monkey)
Lineage: Eukaryota; Metazoa; Chordata; Mammalia; Primates; Aotidae
Gene: U4
Rfam family: U4 spliceosomal RNA
About the family: U4 small nuclear RNA (U4 snRNA) is a component of the major U2-dependent spliceosome. The structure of U4 snRNA from yeast and human has been reported.
Source: Ensembl